UACGAAGGGGGCUAGCGUUGCUCGGAAUCACUGGGCGUAAAGGGCGCGUAGGCGGCGGGGUAAGUCGGGUGUGAAAUCUCAGGGCUCAACCCUGAAACUGCACUCGAUACUGCUCUGCUUGAGGACUGGAGAGGAGACUGGAAUUCACGGUGUAGCAGUGAAAUGCGUGGAGAUCGUGAGGAAGACCAGUGGCGAAGGCGGGUCUCUGGACAGUUCCUGACGCUGAGGCACGAAGGUCAGGGGAGCAAACGGG
RNAcentral lists this ribosomal RNA (253 nucleotides) under uncultured bacterium. RNAcentral describes it as "partial 16S ribosomal RNA". It matches the Rfam family "Bacterial small subunit ribosomal RNA", at positions 524 to 776 of the family's 1533-position model. The record is from RNAcentral.